AACGGUCUAUACCUGCGGUACCUGCGGAAGGAUCAUUAGUGAACGCCCUCGCGGGCUUAUAACUAUUCCAAACCUCUGUGAACCGUGCCCUUCGGGGCUAUUUUACAAACAUGGUGUAAUGAACGUCAUAUAUCAUAACAAAACAAAACUUUUAACAACGGAUCUCU
This 167-nucleotide unclassified non-coding RNA is filed under the name soil metagenome. RNAcentral's name for it is "partial contains 5.8S ribosomal RNA, internal transcribed spacer 2, and large subunit ribosomal RNA". The record is from RNAcentral.